UCACAAUGAUUUUUUCUUUGCAAAUCAGGAAUGUAAUCCUAUGUAAAACUGAAAUCGGCGGACUAAGGCUUCUGUCAUAAACAUCUCAUUCAAUAAUUGUCCCAUUCGAAUCAUCGAUCCAAUCAAUGGUUUAUGUUCUCUAAGUGACCGGUUUUUGGAUGCUCGUGGAAGUAUACGCAAACAAGUGGUUGCAAUAACUUGAGAUGCAACGUCUAUGGAUUUAUCAUCCAUUUCACCUGAAACCAUAAAGCAUCUCGUCGAGCGCCUUGAGGACAAAUCUGUAAAAACACCUUUUUGUUCUCUAUAUCACUAACAUCGUUCUUUAUGGGCUGGGGAAAUCUCCUAAAUUACAAGAGAGGAAGAUAGAGUUAGCAUUGAUUGGGAAGGAAGGAACUAGAAAUCCAUUUAAGAGGACUUUACCCGGGAAGGAACUUACUUUUUCUAAAAAGGUGAUUUGCGGUUAAUUCAUUGUCAUUUGAUAAGUUAUUAGGAAUAUGAUGGAACGGAAGACCAAGGAAAGAAAGAACAAUGCACCAAAAUGCAGGUGUUGCACCAAACACAAGCUGCCAACCAAUAAAGGAAACACCUUUAUAGACUGAGAACCUCCAUGACUAGGACAAAAAAAGACGUUAUAGUUCUUGAUGAAUUAUUUGUUUGUUUCGGUGUUGAACUAUAAUUGUAGUAUCUUUAGCCUUUGUCAUAAAUUGAUGGCUUUUAGUUUUCUUGGAAGGAAGAACAAUAUAGGUGAGAUGAUCUGGUGCAAUAAGAAGAACCAAGGGUAUAAUGGUCUUUUUUGGGGAUUUGUCAAUUGUAGCAGGUAUAUUCAAAACUGUAUAGAGCAUCUUGACAAUAGAUAGCAAAGGGAAAAGGUUUUAUGCUAUAAAACAUAAUUGGAUGAUCAAAUGAGAAAAUCAUGAUAAAGAAGUGUAUUCACCAAUAUAGUAAGUUAACCUUACUUUAUAGUUAUCAAUUCACAAGCAGUUGAAACC
This is a non-coding RNA of Lactuca sativa (garden lettuce), 989 nucleotides long. NCBI's taxonomy places the organism in Eukaryota, Viridiplantae, Streptophyta, Magnoliopsida, Asterales, Asteraceae. The record is from RefSeq and is a predicted model, not a curated record.